This 2091-nucleotide ribosomal RNA is filed under the name Neisseria dentiae. Its description in RNAcentral is "bacterial LSU rRNA". It matches the Rfam family "Bacterial large subunit ribosomal RNA", at positions 129 to 2266 of the family's 2925-position model. The record is from RNAcentral. Lineage: Bacteria; Pseudomonadati; Pseudomonadota; Betaproteobacteria; Neisseriales; Neisseriaceae.
CACCGUAUUCUGUACGGUAUCCUUAUCUGAAUACAUAGGAUAAGAGAAGCGAACCCGGAGAACUGAACCAUCUAAGUACCCGGAGGAAAAGAAAUCAACCGAGAUUCCGCAAGUAGUGGCGAGCGAACGCGGAGGAGCCUGUAUACGAUAGCCGUUGGGAUAGAAGAACAAGCUGGAAAGCUUGGCCAUAGUGGGUGAUAGCCCCGUAUUCGAAAUCCGAAUGGUGGUACUAGGUAUACGACAAGUAGGGCGGGACACGAGAAAUCCUGUCUGAAGAUGGGGGGACCAUCCUCCAAGGCUAAAUACUCAUCAUCGACCGAUAGUGAACCAGUACCGUGAGGGAAAGGCGAAAAGAACCCCGGGAGGGGAGUGAAAGAGAACCUGAAACCUGAUGCAUACAAACAGUGGGAGCCCUAAGGGGUGACUGCGUACCUUUUGUAUAAUGGGUCAACGACUUACAUUCAGUAGCGAGCUUAACCGGAUAGGGGAGGCGUAGGGAAACCGAGUCUUAAUAGGGCGACAAGUUGCUGGGUGUAGACCCGAAACCGAGUGAUCUAUCCAUGGCCAGGAUGAAGGUGCCGUAACAGGUACUGGAGGUCCGAACCCACGCAUGUUGCAAAAUGCGGGGAUGAGCUGUGGAUAGGGGUGAAAGGCUAAACAAACUCGGAGAUAGCUGGUUCUCCCCGAAAACUAUUUAGGUAGUGCCUCAUGUAUCACUUCCGGGGGUAAAGCACUGUUAUGGCUAGGGGGUCAUUGCGACUUACCAACCCAUGGCAAACUAAGAAUACCGGAAAGUGCAAUCAUGGGAGACAGACAGCGGGUGCUAACGUCCGUUGUCGAGAGGGAAACAACCCAGACCGCCAGCUAAGGUCCCCAAUGACAGAUUAAGUGGUAAACGAAGUGGGAAGGCCCAGACAGCCAGGAUGUUGGCUUAGAAGCAGCCAUCAUUUAAAGAAAGCGUAAUAGCUCACUGGUCGAGUCGUCCUGCGCGGAAGAUGUAACGGGGCUCAAAUCUGUAACCGAAGCUGCGGAUGCGCUUGGCGCAUGGUAGGGGAGCGUUCUGUAGGCCGUAGAAGGUGUGUUGUAAAGCAUGCUGGAGGUAUCAGAAGUGCGAAUGUUGACAUGAGUAGCGAUAAAGCGGGUGAAAAGCCCGCUCGCCGAAAGCCCAAGGUUUCCUACGCAACGUUCAUCGGCGUAGGGUGAGUCGGCCCCUAAGGCGAGGCAGAAAUGCGUAGUCGAUGGGAAACGGGUUAAUAUUCCCGUACUUUGAUUCAAUGCGAUGUGGGGACGGAGAAGGUUAGGUUAGCAAACUGUUGGAAUAGUUUGUUUAAGCCGGUAGGUGGAGUGUUUAGGCAAAUCCGGACGCUCAUAACACCGAGAAGUGACGACGAGUAUCUACGGAUACGAAGUAACCGAUACCACGCUUCCAGGAAAAGCCACUAAGCUUCAGUUGGAUCAGAACCGUACCGCAAACCGACACAGGUGGGCAGGAUGAGAAUUCUAAGGCGCUUGAGAGAACUCGGGAGAAGGAACUCGGCAAAUUGAUACCGUAACUUCGGGAGAAGGUAUGCCCUUCGAUGUUAAGCCCUUGCGGUGUAAGCAUUGGAGGGUCGCAGAGAAUCGGUGGCUGCGACUGUUUAUUAAAAACACAGCACUCUGCUAACACGAAAGUGGACGUAUAGGGUGUGACGCCUGCCCGGUGCUGGAAGGUUAAUUGAAGAUGUUAGCGCAUCGGAUCGAAGCCCCAGUAAACGGCGGCCGUAACUAUAACGGUCCUAAGGUAGCGAAAUUCCUUGUCGGGUAAGUUCCGACCCGCACGAAUGGCGUAACGAUGGCCACACUGUCUCCUCUCGAGACUCAGCGAAGUUGAAAUGGUUGUGAAGAUGCAAUCUCCCCGCUGCUAGACGGAAAGACCCCGUGAACCUUUACUGUAGCUUUGCAUUGGACUUUGAAGGCACUUGUGUAGGAUAGGUGGGAGGCUGAGAAGCAGAGACGCUAGUCUUUGCGGAGCCGUCCUUGAAAUACCACCCUGGUGUCUUUGAGGUUCUAACCCAGGUCCGUGAUCCGGAUCGGGGACCGUGCAUGGUAGGC